RNAcentral lists this long non-coding RNA (2425 nucleotides) under Salmo salar (Atlantic salmon). RNAcentral describes it as "lncRNA (ENSSSAG00000092246.1)". The record is from RNAcentral. Lineage: Eukaryota; Metazoa; Chordata; Actinopteri; Salmoniformes; Salmonidae.
GAGCAAGUUUCUCUGAGGGGGAGUAAUCAAGUGUCCAUGAGGGGGCGGGAGCAAGUGUCCAUGAGGGGGAGUGAGCAGGUGUCCAUGAGGGGGAGUGAGCAAGUGUCCAUGAAGGGGUGUGAGCAAGUGUCCAUGAGGGGCGUGAGCAAGUGUCCAUGACGGGGCGUGAGCAAGUGUCCAUGAGGGGAUGUGAGCAAGUGUCCAUGAGGGGGUUUGAGCAAGUGUCCAUGGGGGGGUGUGAGCAAGUGUCCAUGGGGGGGAGUGAGCAAGUGUCCAUGGGGGGGAGUGAGCAAGUGUCCAUGAGGGGGAGUGAGCAAGUGUCCAUGAGUGGGUGUGAGCAAGUGUCCAUGGGGCAGUGUGAGCAAGUGUCCAUGGGGGGGAGUGAGCAAGUGUCCAUGGGGGGAGUGAGCAAGGGCACAUUCUCUGAAGAAUGGUAUGGGAUAAGAAGCCAGCCCUUUCCUACUCUUGGGCAAAGUACAGGGUGGGCAACACAUUUUUGGGGAUUAUUUUGGAUUUUAAAAAACACUCCAGGCCACUCUUGAAUGUCUAAAACAAGAUAGAAAGUAUGUUGAAAUUAUAAUGGAAUUACACUAUAUAUUUAUAUACAUUAUAAUGUAACUACACAAUAUAUUUAUAUAAAUUAUAAUGGACCUACAGUAUAUAUUUAUAUAAAUUAUAAUGGACCUACACUAUAUAUUUAUAUAAAUUAUAAUGGACCUACACAAUAAAUUUAUAUAAAUUAUAAUGGACCUACAGUAUAUAUUUAUAUAAAUUAUAAUGGACCUACAGUAUAUAUUUAUAUAAAUUAUAAUGGACCUACAGUAUAUAUUUAUAUAAAUUAUAAUGGACCUACAGUAUAGAUGUUCAAAUAACUUCCUUUUCUGGCCUGCAAAUAGAUUUUGACAAACAAAUCGGUCCCCCCAACAAUCUGUGCGGCCCUCGAACUAAAACGUUUGCCCAUCCCUGUCCUAGCUGGGCCGAGUGUCUGCGGAUUGUUGCUCCUCCCUUGUACUUGAUUGAUCAAUUAACGCCAUUGAUUAGUUAGGAUCUCCCCUCACCUGGUUGUCUACAAAUUAAUUCGACACGAAUUGAAAGAAAAUAACAAACACCCGCUUCAGCAGUACCCCGUCAUACCUGUAGAUGGCAGCAGGACCCCAGAGAGGUUCUAUGGGAUUAAAUUACAGGCUGCAUCUCAGGCUGUUUGACAUAGGAUUACAACAUAUUCUGUUAGGACAGAGACCGGUACAUUGAUAGUAAUAUGAUUGUCUCGAUCGGAUAGAAAGUCACAUUUUAAUUGGGGAUGUAAUUAGACAGGUUUCAUUUUCUUCAUCUACCCUGGAAUGGAAAAACUGGAAAUAUCUGACUUUAUGGAUGAGUACAGAUGAACGAGGAGAUGAGACAAUGAGAUGGAGUCAUUAGACUACUGAGAUAAAGGAGAGGGGACAAGGAGAUGACGCUGCUUUAGGAGAGGAAGCGAGCCCCUGACUUGACCAUGGAUGAGCCUCCUCACGACAGGACAUGUGGAAGCUAUGCUGAGGCACCAUUCCUUUUCUCCUAUGAAUAAGUAACCUAGGCUACUUCAAGGAAGGAAGGAAAGAAUGAUGCGUUCCCAAAGUAGUCCCAAUGAACAAAACCUGAGGGACUCCACUCUUUUGCGGACCAGCCAAGAACCGAGUUUCACUUUCACAUCUCUGGAAGUUGAGCUUUUUUUUCAAAGUAUAUUCCACCCCUUGUUCUGGUGAAUCAGAGUGUCAUUCUACAGUUCUGCGGGGCUGCGUGAACAGAUGACAUGAUAUCUUCUUCCUCUGAUGAAAGAAUAUGAUCUGCUGUAGCCUACAGCGGGGGUGGUUGAGGACCAGAACACGCAUCCACCAAGGCGGGAGCGCGCAUUGUGAAGAGGCGGGGCAGCGGGAAUAUCUCUUUCCGGACAUUUACCGAUGUUUACCUCCACCUGCCCGCGCGACGCGCCCAGUUCCAAGGUUUUUAACAGCGAUAGUAUCAACGGACAUGACAAAGUUCCCAAAUCCAGGACUACCGAGGUUGUGGAGAGAUGGACUGAGGGAUGUGUGUGUGUGUGUGUGUGUGUGUGUAGUGAGUGAGUGACGCGUAAUUCAGAGUGCAAAGACACAGAGAGACGUGACAGUCCCGCGUCCCAUUGUGACAUAGCUACGCAGCUCUGAGACCACUGUCAGCGGGGGGAACACACAGCCAUAACGGAACAUUCCCAACCAACGCGGCUCUGAGACCACUGUCAGCGGGGGGAACACACAGCCAUAACGGAACAUUCCUAACCAACGCGGCUCUGAGACCACUGUCAGCGGGGGGAACACACAGCCAUAACGGAACAUUCCCAACCAACGCGGCUCUGGGACCACUGUCAGCGGGGGAACACACAGCCAUAACGGAACAUUCCCAACCAACGCGC